CCCCAAACUUCUCCUCGGCUCGUCUUCAUCUUCAGGCAGGUGAGCUCCUCUGGUUCUCUCCCGGUCUCCCCCUCGAGCCAGCGCUUCGAGCUCACUUGUUCUCUUUUUGUGCUUGUGCUCUGCUGCUGCUUGUGGUGCUCUGCUGUGUUGUUGCCUGAUCGCUUGCUGCUAUCCCAUUGCUGGUCUAACACAUACAGUAUAACUUGUAUAACUUGUAUGUGUUAGACUAAUUGUGGAUAGAUUGAUCUAGACUGAAACCUGAUUUUGUAUCCUGUUUUCCGUCGACAAAUAUACAAGUUAUAUCAGCAAGUUACUGUAUGUGUUAGAGAAAUCAGUGUUGAUUUAUUUGUUCUUUUUUUCUUUCUAAUUUUUGCAUGAGAGCAAACUGGUGUAGCUAGCUGGACUAUGCAGCCAUGAAUCAGGAAGUAGCAUAUUCAAUUUUGCUAAUGGAAAAUUGAAGGAAAUAUGCCCUAGAGACAAUAAUAAAGUUAUUAUUUAUUUCCUUAUAUCAUGAUAAAUGUUUAUUAUUCAUGCUAGAAUUGUAUUAACCAGAAACAUAAUACAUGUGUGAAUACAUAGACAAACGGAGUGUCACUAGUAUGCCUCUACUUAACUAGCUCGUUAAUCAAAGAUGGUUAUGUUUCCUAACCAUGAACAAAGAGUUGUUAUUUGAUUAACGGGAUCACAUCAUUAGGUGAAUGAUCUGAUUGACAUGACCCAUUCCAUUAGCUUAGCACCCGAUCGUUUAGUAUGUUGCUAUUGCUUUCUUCAUAACUUAUACAUGUUCCUAUGACUAUGAGAUUAUGCAACUCCCGUUUGCCGGAGGAACACUUUGUGUGCUACCAAACGUCACAACGUAAAUGGGUGAUUAUAAAGGUACUCUAAAGGUGUCUCCAAAGGUACAUGUUGGGUUGGCGUAUUUCGAGAUUAGGAUUUGUCACUUGGAUUGUCGGAGAGGUAUCUCUGGGCCCUCUCGGUAAUGCACAUCACAUAAGCCUUGCAAGCAUUGCAACUAAUGAGUUAGUUGCAAGAUGAUGUAUUACGGAACGAGUAAAGAGACUUGUCGGUAACGAGAUUGAAAUAGGUAUUGAGAUACCGACGAUCGAAUCUCGGGCAAGUAACAUACCGAUGACAAAGGGAACAACGUAUGUUGUUAUGCGGUCUGACCGAUAAAGAUCUUCGUAGAAUAUGUAGGAGCCAAUAUGAGCAUCCAGGUUCCGCUAUUGGUUAUUCACCGGAGAUGUGUCUUGGUCAUGUCUACAUUGUUCUCGAACCCGUAGGGUCCGCACGCUUAAGGUUUUGAUGAUAGUUAUAUUAUGAGUUUAUGAGUUUUGAUGUACCGAAGUUAGUUCGGAGUCCCGGAUGUGAUCACCGACAUGAUGAGGAGUCUCGAAAUGGCCGAGACAUAAAGUUUGAUAUAUUGGACGGCUAUAUUCGGACACCGGAAGUGUUCCGGGUGAUUUCGGAGAAAACCGGAGAGCCGGAGGGUUACCGGAACCCCCCGGGAGAAGUAAUGGGCCAUAUGGGCCUUAGUGGAGAGAGAGAGAGGGGCAGCCAAAGGUGGGCCGCGCGCCUCCUCCCCCCUGGUCCGAAUUGGACUAGGAGAGGGGGGGGGGGGCGCCCCCCUUUCCUUCUCCCUCCCCACUUCUUUCCCCCUCCUAGUAGGAGUCCUACUCCUACUAGGAGGAGGACUCCUCCUUGGCUCGCCAUAGGGGCCGGCCGGCCUCCUCCCCUUGAUCCUUUAUAUACGGGGGCAGGGGGCACCCUUAGACACACAAGUUGAUCCACGUGAUCAUAUUCUCAGCCGUGUGCGGUGCCCCCUUCCACCAUAAUCCUCGAUAAUAUUGUAGCGGUGCUUAGGCGAAGCCCUGCGAACGAUAGCACAUCAAGAUCGUCACCACGCCGUCGUGCUGACGGAACUCUUCCCCGACACUUUGUUGGAUCGGAGUCCGGGGAUCGUCAUCGAGCUGAACGUGUGCUAAAACUCGGAGGUGCCGUAGUUUCGGUGCUUGAUCGGUCGGGCUGUGAAGACGUACGACUACAUCAACCGCGUUGUGCUAACGCUUCCGCUGUCGGUCUACAAGGGUACGUAGAUCACACUCUCCCCUCUCGUUGCUAUGCAUCACCAUGAUCUUGCAUGUGCGUAGGAAUUUUUUUGAAAUUACUACGUUCCCCAACAGUGGCAUCCGAGCCUAGGUUUUAUAUGUUGAUGUUAUAUGCACGAGUAGAACACAAGUGAGUCGUGGGCGAUAUAAGUGAUACUGCUUACCAGCAUGUCAUACUUUGGUUCGGCGGUAUUGUUGGACGAAGCGGCCCGGACCGACAUUACGCGUACGCUUACAUGAGACCGGUUCUCCCGACGUGCUUUGCACAUAGGUGGCUUGCGGGUGACAGUUUCUCCAACUUUAGUUGAACCGAGUGUGGCUACGCCCGGUCCUUGCGAAGGUUAAAACAGCACCAACUUGACAAACUAUUGUUGUGGUUUUGAUGCGUAGGUAAGAUUGGUUCUUGCUUAAGCCCGUAGCAGCCACGUAAAACUUGCAACAACAAAGUAGAGGACGUCUAACUUGUUUUUGCAGGGCAUGUUGUGAUGUGAUAUGGUCCAGACAUGAUGCUAAAUUUUAUUGUAUGAGAUGAUCAUAUUUUGUAACCAAGUUAUCGGCAACUGGCAGGAGCCAUACUUUAUCACUAAGCGGUAGCGAUAGUCGUGGAAGCAUAAGAUUGGCGAGACGACAACGAUGCUACGGUGGAGAUCAAGGUGUCACGCCUGUGACGAUGGUGAUCAUGACGGUGCUUCGAAUAUGGAGAUCACAAGCACAAGAUGAUGAUGGCCAUAUCAUAUCACUUAUAUUGAUUGCAUGUGAUGGUUAUCUUUUAUGCAACUUAUCUUGCUUUGAUUGACGGUAGCAUUAUAAGAUGAUCUCUCACUAAUUAUCAAGAAGUGUUCUCCCUGAGUAUGCACCGUUGUGAAAGUUCUUCGUGCUGAGACACCAGGUGAUGAUCGGGUGUGAUAGGCUCUACUUUCAAAUACAACGGGUGCAAAACAGUUGCACAUGCGGAAUACUCAGGUUAUACUUGACGAGCCAAGCAUAUACAGAUAUGGCCUCGGAACACGGAGACCAAAAGGUCGAGCAUGAAUCAUAUAGUAGAUAUGAUCAACAUAGUGGUGUUCACCAAUGAAACUACUCCAUCUCACAUGAUGAUCGGACAUGGUUUAGUUGAUUUGGAUCACGUAAUCACUUAGAGGAUUAGAGGGAUGUCUAUCUAAGUGGGAGUUCUUUAAGUAAAUUAAUUGAACCUAAAUUUAUCAUGAAACUUAGUACCUGAUAGUAUCUCGCUUGUUUAUGCUUGAUUGUAGAUAGAUGGCUCGUGCUGUUGUUCCGUUGAAUUUUAAUGCGUUCCUUGAGAAAGCAAAGUUGAAAGAUGAUGGUAGCAAUUACACGGACUGGGUCCGUAACUUGAGGAUUAUCCUCAUUGCUACACAGAAGAAUUACGUCCUGGAAGCACCGCUGGGUACCAGGCCUGCUGCUAGAGCAACACCAGAUGUUAUGAACGUCUGGCAGAGCAAAGCUGAUGACUACUCGAUAGUUCAGUGUGCCAUGCUUUACGGCUUAGAAUCGGGACUUCAAUGAUGCUUUGAACGUCAUGGAGCAUAUGAGAUGUUCUAGGAGUUGAAGUUAAUAUUUCAAGCAAAUGCCCGGACUGAGAGAUAUGAAGUCUCCAAUAAGUUCUAUAGCUGCAAGAUGGAGGAGAACAGUUAUGUCAAUGAGCAUAUACUCAAAAUGUCUGGGUAUAAUAAUCACUUGAUUCAAUUGGGAGUUAAUCUUCCAGAUGAUUGCGUCAUUGACAGAAUUCUCCAAUCACUACCACCAAGCUACAAGAGCUUCGUGAUGAACUAUAAUAUGCAAGGGAUGAAUAAGACUAUUCCCGAGCUCUUCGCAAUGCUAAAAGCUGCGGAGGUAGAAAUCAAGAAGGAGCAUCAAGUGUUGAUGGUUAACAAGACCACUAGUUUCAAGAAAAAGGGCAAAGGGAAGAAGAAGGGGAACUUCAAAAGGAACAGCAAGCAAGUUGCUACUCAAGAGAAGAAACCCAAACCUGGACCUAAGCAUGAAACUGAGUGCUUCUAGUGCAAGCAGACUGGUCACUAGAAGCGGAACUGCCCCAAGUAUUGGGCGGAUAAGAAGGAUGGCAAGGUGAACAAAGGUAUAUGUGAUAUACCUGUUAUUGAUGUGUACCUUACUAAUGCUCGCAGUAGCACCUGGGUAUUUGAUACUGGUUCUGUUGCUAAUAUUUGCAUCUCGAAACAGGGACUACGGAUUAAGCGAAGAUUGGCUAAGGACGAGGUGACGAUGCGCGUGGGAAACGGUUCCAAAGUCGAUGUGAUCGCAGUCGGCACGCUACCUCUACAUCUACCUUCGGGAUUAAUAUUAGACCUAAAUAAUUGUUAUUUGGUGCCAGCGUUAAGCAUGAACAUUAUAUCUGGAUCUUGUUUGAUGCGAGACGGUUAUUCAUUUAAAUCUGAGAAUAAUGGUUGUUCUAUUUAUAUGAGUAAUAUCUUUUAUGGUCAUGCACCCUUAAAGAGUGGUCUAUUUUUAUUGAAUCUCGAUAGUAGUGACACACAUAUUCAUAGUGUUGAAGCCAAAAGAUGCAGAGUUGAUAAUGAUAGUGCAACUUAUUUGUGGCCCUGCCGUUUGGGUCAUAUCGGUAUAAAGCGCAUGAAGAAACUCCAUACUGAUGGGCUUGUGGAACCACUUGAUUAUGAAUCACUUGGUACUUGCGAACCGUGCCUUAUGGGUAAGAUGACAAAAACACCGUUCUCCGGUACUAUGGAGAGAGCAACAGAUUUGUUGGAAAUCAUACAUACAGAUGUAUGUGGUCCGAUGAACGUUGAGGCUCGUGGCGGAUAUCGUUAUUUUCUCACCUUCACAGAUCACUUAAGCAGAUAUGGGUAUAUCUACUUAAUGAAACACAAGUCUGAAACAUUUGAAAAGUUCAAAGAAUUUCAGAGUGAAGUUGAAAAUCAUCGUAUCAAGAAAAUAAAAUUCCUACGAUCUGAUCGUGGAGGAGAAUAUUUGAGUUACGAGUUUGGUGUACAUUUGAAAAAUUGUGGAAUAGUUUCGCAACUCACGCCACCCGGAACACCACAGUGUAAUGGUGUGUCCGAACGUCGUAAUCGUACUUUACUAGAUAUGGAGCGAUCUAUGAUGUCUCUUACUGAUUUACCGCUAUCAUUUUGGGGAUACGCUCUAGAGACGGCCGCAUUCACGUUAAAUAGGGCACCAUCAAAAUCCGUUGAGAUGACGCCUUAUGAACUGUGGUUUGGCAAGAAACCAAAGUUGUCGUUUCUGAAAGUUUGGGGCUGCGAUGCUUAUGUGAAAAGGCUUCAACCUGAUAAGCUCGAACCCAAAUCGGAGAAAUGUGUCUUCAUAGGAUAUCCAAAGUAAACUAUUGGAUACACCUUCUAUCACAGAUCCGAAGGCAAGACUUUUGUUGCUAAAUUCGGAAACUUUCUGGAGAAGGAGUUUCUCUCGAAAGAAGUGAGUGGGAGGAAAGUAGAACUUGACGAGGUAACUGUACCUACUCCCUUAUUGGAAAGUAGUACAUCACAAAAACCUGUUUCUGUGACACCUACACCAGUUAGUGAGGAAGCUAAUGAUGAUGAUCAUGAAACUUCGGAACAAGAUACUACUGAACCUCGUAGAUCAACCAGAGUGAGAUCCGCGCCAGAGUGGUACGGUAAUCCUGUUCUGGAAGUCAUGCUACUAGAUCAUGAUGAACCUACGAACUAUGAAGAAGCGAUGGUGAGCCCAGAUUCCGCAAAAUAGCUUGAAGCCAUGAAAUCUGAGAUGGGAUCCAUGUAUGAGAACAAAGUAUGGACUUUGGUUGACUUGCCCGAUGAUCGGCAAGCAAUUGAGAAUAAAUGGAUCUUCAAGAAGAAGACUGACACUGACAGUAAUAUUACUGUCUACAAAGCUCGACUUGUCGCAAAAGGUUUUCGGCAAGUUCAAGGGAUUGACUACGAUGAGACCUUCUCACCCGUAGUGAUGCUUAAGUCUGUCUGAAUCAUGUUAGCAAUUGCCGCAUUUUAUGAUUAUGAAAUUUGGCAGAUGGAUGUCAAAACUGCAUUCCUAAAUGGAUUUCUGGAAGAAGAGUUGUAUAUGAUGCAACCAGAAGGUUUUGUCUAUCCAAAGGGAGCUAACAAAGUGUGCAAGCUCCAGCGAUCCAUUUAUGGACUGGUGCAAGCCUCUCGGAGUUGGAAUAAACGCUUUGAUAGUGUGAUCAAAGCAUUUGGUUUUAUACAGACUUUUGGAGAAGCCUGUAUUUACAAGAAAGUGAGUGGGAGAUCUGUAGCAUUUCUGAUAUUAUAUGUGGAUGACAUAUUACUAAUUGGAAAUGAUAUAGAAUUUCUGGAUAGCAUAAAGGGAUACUUGAAUAAGAGUUUUUCAAUGAAAGGCCUCGGUGAAGCUGCUUACAUAUUAGGCAUUAAGAUCUAUAGAGAUAGAUCAAGACGCUUAAUUGGACUUUCACAAAGCACAUACCUUGACAAAGUUUUGAAGAAGUUCAAAAUGGACCAGGCAAAGAAAGGGUUCUUGCCUGUGUUACAAGGUGUGAAGUUGAGUAAGACUCAAUGCCCGACCACUGCAGAAGAUAGAGAGAAAAUGAAAGAUGUUCCCUAUGCUUCAGCCAUAGGCUCUAUCAUGUAUGCAAUGUUGUGUACCAGACCUGAUGUGUGCCUUGCUAUAAGUCUAGAAGGGAGGUACCAAAGUGAUCUAGGAGUGGAUCACUGGACAGUGGUCAAGAACAUCCUGAAAUACCUGAAAAGGACUAAGGAUAUGUUUCUCAUAUAUGGAGGUGACAAAGAGCUCAUCAUAAAAGGUUACAUUGAUGCAAGCUUUGACACCGAUCCGGACGAUUCUAAAUCGCAAACCGGAUACGUGUUUACAUUAAACGGUGGAGCUGUCAGUUGGUGCAGUUCUAAACAAAGCGUUGUGGCGGGAUCUACAUGUGAAGCUGAGUACAUAGCUGCUUCGGAAGCAGCAAAUGAAGGAGUUCAUAUCCGAUCUAGGUGUCAUACCUAGUGCAUCGGGUCCAAUGAAAAUCUUUUGUGACAAUACUGGUGCAAUUGCCUUGGCAAAGGAAUCCAGAUUUCACAAGAGAACCAAGCACAUCAAGAGACGCUUCAAUUCUAUCCGGGAUCUAGUCCAGGUGGGAGACAUAGAGAUUUGCAAGAUACAUACGGAUCUGAAUGUUGUAGACCCUUGACUAAGCCUCUUCCACGAGCAAAACAUGAUCAGCAGCAAGGCUCCAUGGGUGUUAGAAUCAUUACUGUGUAAUCUAGAUUAUUGACUCUAGUGCAAGUGGGAGACUGAAGGAAAUAUGCCCUAGAGGCAAUAAUAAAGUUAUUAUUUAUUUCCUUAUAUCAUGAUAAAUGUUUAUUAUUCAUGCUAGAAUUGUAUUAACCGGAAACAUAAUACAUGUGUGAAUACAUAGACAAACGGAGUGUCACUAGUAUGCCUCUACUUAACUAGCUCGUUAAUCAAAGAUGGUUAUGUUUCCUAACCAUGAACAAAGAGUUGUUAUUUGAUUAACGGGAUCACAUCAUUAGGUGAAUGAUCUGAUUCACAUGACCCAUUCCAUUAGCUUAGCACCCGAUCGUUUAGUAUGUUGCUAUUGCUUUCUUCAUAACUUAUACAUGUUCCUAUGACUAUGAGAUUAUGCAACUCCCGUUUGCCGGAGGAACACUUUGAGUGCUACCAAACGUCACAACGUAAAUGGGUGAUUAUAAAGGUACUCUACAGGUGUCUCCAAAGGUACAUGUUGGGUUGGCGUAUUUCGUGAUUAGGAUUUGUCACUCCGAUUGUGGGAGAGGUAUCUCUGGGCCCUCUCGGUAAUGCACAUUACAUAAGCCUUGCAAGAUUGCAACUAAUGAGUUAGUUGCGAGAUGAUGUAUUACGGAACGAGUAAAGAGACUUGCCGGUAACGAGAUUGAAAUAGGUAUUGAGAUACCGACGAUUGAAUCUCGGGCAAGUAACAUACCGAUGACAAAGGGAACAACGUAUGUUGUUAUGCGGUCUGACCGAUAAAGAUCUUCGUAGAAUAUGUAGGAGCCAAUAUGAGCAUCCAGGUUCCGCUAUUGGUUAUUGACCGGGGACGUGUCUCGGUCAUGUCUACAUUGUUCUCGAACCCGUAGGGUCCGCACGCUUAAGGUUUCGAUGACAGUUAUAUUAUGAGUUUAUGAGUUUUGAUGUACCGAAGUUAGUUCGGAGUCCUGGAUGUGAUCACGGACAUCACGAGGAGUCUCGAAAUGGUCGAGACAUAAAUAUUGAUAUAUUGGACGGCUAUAUUCGGACACCGGAAGUGUUCCGGGUGAUUUCGGAGAAAACCGGAGAGCCGGAGGGUUACCGGAACCCCCCCGGGAGAAGUAAUGGGCCAUAUGGGCCUUAGUGGAGAGAGAGGGGGGCAGCCAAAGGUGGGCCGCGCGCCUCCUCCCCCCUGGUCCGAAUUGGACUAGGAGAGGGGGGGGCGGCGCCCCCCUUUCCUUCUCCCUCCCCACUUCUUUGCACUAGGAGGAGGACUCCUCCUUGGCGCGCCAUAGGGGCCGGCCGGCCUCCUCCCCUUGAUCCUUUAUAUACAGGGUCAGGGGGCACCCCUAGACACACAAGUCGAUCCACGUGAUCAUAUUCUCAGCCAUGUGCGGUGCCCCCUUCCACCAUAAUCCUCGAUAAUAUUGUAGCGGUGCUUAGGCGAAGCCCUGGGACGAUAGUACAUCAAGAUCGUCACCACGCCGUCGUGCUGACGGAACUCUUCCCCGACACUUUGCUGGAUCGGAGUCCGGGGAUCAUCAUUGAGCUGAACGUGUGCUAAAACUCGGAGGUGCCAUAGUUUCGGUGCUUGAUCGGUCGGGCCGUGAAGACGUACGACUACAUCAACCGCGUUGUGCUAACGCUUCCGCUGUCGGUCUACAAGGGUACGUAGAUCACACUCUCCCCUCUCGUUGCUAUGCAUCACCAUGAUCUUGCGUGUGCGUAGGAAUUUUUUUGAAAUUACUACGUUCCCCAACAAAAAUAAAUGUAUUAAAAACUUUAAAAACUGCAUAAUAAGUGCUUGUUCAUGUUUGGUUUUCUCUAAACUUUGUUUGUAUGAUUGAGGGCAAAUUUACUUGGUUCUUUUCUCUAAACUGUGCUUGGAACAUUCGUUUUUAUGAUCUAAAAUUUCCUUCCCGUGAUGAUGCAGGUGCCCAGUUUGUGCUCGCUAUCGAAGGAGCUCCAUGUUGAAGAAGAUUGAAGACACUUGUAGAGCUACAGGGUUAACACCAGGGCACCGUAUCACAUGUAGAGCUUGUAUAUGUUAGAGCUUAUUAUGUGUAGAGCUUGUAAAGUAUAUGUUAUGUGUACAAUAGGAGCUCUGUACUGAAUCUGGCUGAUAAUGUUUGGAGCAUUAUGUGUGUGUUUUGUUUGUGCCAAUUUAAAUACUGGUUAUUUA
This 9483-nucleotide long non-coding RNA is filed under the name Triticum aestivum (bread wheat). RNAcentral describes it as "long non-coding RNA (TAES_LNC021084)". The record is from RNAcentral. Lineage: Eukaryota; Viridiplantae; Streptophyta; Magnoliopsida; Poales; Poaceae.